UAAGCGGAGGAAAAGAAACCAACAGGGAUUGCCUCAGUAACGGCGAGUGAAGCGGCAAAAGCUCAAAUUUGAAAUCUGGCUCUUUCAGGGUCCGAGUUGUAAUUUGUAGAAGAUGUUUCGGGUGUGGUCCCAGUCUAAGUUCCCUGGAACUGGACAUCACAGAGGGUGAGAAUCCCGUAUGUGACUGGGUACCUACGUCCAUGUGAAACUCUUUCGACGAGUCGAGUUGUUUGGGAAUGCAGCUCAAAAUGGGUGGUAAAUUUCAUCUAAAGCUAAAUAUUGGCCAGAGACCGAUAGCGCACAAGUAGAGUGAUCGAAAGAUGAAAAGCACUUUGGAAAGAGAGUUAAACAGUACGUGAAAUUGUUGAAAGGGAAGGGCAUGCAAUCAGACUUGCGCCUAGUUGAUCAUCCGGGCUUUUGCCCGGUGCACUCGAUUAGGCUCAGGCCAGCAUCAGUUUAGAGGGUUGGAUAAAGGCCUUGGGAAUGUGGCCCCUCUCGGGGGGUGUUAUAGCCCAAGGUGCAAUGCAGCCACUCUGGACUGAGGACCGCGCUUCGGCUAGGAUGCUGGCGUAAUGGUUGUAUGCCGCCCGUCUUGAAACACGGACCAAGGAGUCUAACAUCUAUGCGAGUAUUUGGGUGUUAAACCCAUAUGCGUAAUGAAAGUGAACGGAGGUGAGAGCCCUUAAGGGUGCAUCAUCGACCGAUCCUGAUGUCUUCGGAUGGAUUUGAGUAAGAGCAUAGCUGUUGGGACCCGAAAGAUGGUGAACUAUGCGUGAAUAGGGUGAAGCCAGAGGAAACUCUGGUGGAGGCUCGCAGCGGUUCUGACGUGCAAAUCGAUCGUCAAAUUUGCGUAUAGGGGCGAAAGACUAAUCGAACCAUCUAGUAGCUGGUUCCUGCCGAAGUUUCCCUCAGGAA
Molecule: ribosomal RNA, 915 nt
Filed under: Lambertella corni-maris
Lineage: Eukaryota; Fungi; Ascomycota; Leotiomycetes; Helotiales; Rutstroemiaceae
Description: eukaryotic LSU rRNA
Rfam family: Eukaryotic large subunit ribosomal RNA
Source: RNAcentral